Pecten maximus is the source of this 390-nucleotide long non-coding RNA. RefSeq lists it as uncharacterized. NCBI's taxonomy places the organism in Eukaryota, Metazoa, Mollusca, Bivalvia, Pectinida, Pectinidae. The transcript is spliced from 2 exons. The record is from RefSeq and is a predicted model, not a curated record.
ACAAUAGUGUAUAUUACAUGUACGUACUCAGGGACAGAUGAGCUGCCGACACAGAAAGGAAGAGAAAAUGAGGCCUGUCUACCUACUGGCAGUGUUUAUGUUACUGGCUGUUUGUGCUUUGAGUGUAGAAGGGAGGCUAAGACGGUGUAUCUGUAAUCAUUUCCCGUGCCUGGAAUGUGAGGACCGGCCAUGGCUGGAUGGAGUUGGCAGAUCUCGUAGUAGGCGGUUCAGGUCGCAAAGGCGUUUUAUACCCAGGCAGGAAAGGCAGAGAACUCGAAGGACCUACUAAGUCUGAUAGAUGGAUUAUUUAAACAGCCAUUACUCAUAUACAGUACUUUAAUUGCAAAAAACAAUUGCCAAUUCAAAUAAACGAAUAUAAUAUUUCGAAAG